RNAcentral lists this ribosomal RNA (591 nucleotides) under Bacillus sp. (in: firmicutes). RNAcentral's name for it is "bacterial SSU rRNA". It matches the Rfam family "Bacterial small subunit ribosomal RNA", at positions 111 to 688 of the family's 1533-position model. Lineage: Bacteria; Bacillati; Bacillota; Bacilli; Caryophanales; Bacillaceae. The record is from RNAcentral.
UAACACGUGGGUAACCUGCCUGUAAGACUGGGAUAACUCCGGGAAACCGGAGCUAAUACCGGAUAGUUCCUUGAACCGCAUGGUUCAAGGAUGAAAGACGGUUUCGGCUGUCACUUACAGAUGGACCCGCGGCGCAUUAGCUAGUUGGUGAGGUAACGGCUCACCAAGGCGACGAUGCGUAGCCGACCUGAGAGGGUGAUCGGCCACACUGGGACUGAGACACGGCCCAGACUCCUACGGGAGGCAGCAGUAGGGAAUCUUCCGCAAUGGACGAAAGUCUGACGGAGCAACGCCGCGUGAGUGAUGAAGGUUUUCGGAUCGUAAAGCUCUGUUGUUAGGGAAGAACAAGUGCAAGAGUAACUGCUUGCACCUUGACGGUACCUAACCAGAAAGCCACGGCUAACUACGUGCCAGCAGCCGCGGUAAUACGUAGGUGGCAAGCGUUGUCCGGAAUUAUUGGGCGUAAAGGGCUCGCAGGCGGUUUCUUAAGUCUGAUGUGAAAGCCCCCGGCUCAACCGGGGAGGGUCAUUGGAAACUGGGAAACUUGAGUGCAGAAGAGGAGAGUGGAAUUCCACGUGUAGCGGUGAAAUG